RNAcentral lists this long non-coding RNA (237 nucleotides) under Musa acuminata (dwarf banana). RNAcentral's name for it is "long non-coding RNA (MACU_LNC011797)". Lineage: Eukaryota; Viridiplantae; Streptophyta; Magnoliopsida; Zingiberales; Musaceae. The record is from RNAcentral.
AAGAGAGUCCUAAUUGAGAGGGACAUUCUAUUAGGACUCUAGCUAGGAGAGUCCUAAUUGAGAGGGGCAUUCAUGUAGGAGGUUUUUUCUUAGAGAAGAAUUAGGAGUUGUAAGGGAAUAGGAGUCUUGAGUAGGAGUCCUAUUAGGAGUUGGUUAGAAGUAAGAGUCUUAAGUAGGAGUCCUAUUAGGAGUUAGGGUUUAGAAGCCCUAUAAAUAGUCAUGUAUUCCUUCUCUUUU